This 838-nucleotide ribosomal RNA is filed under the name uncultured bacterium. RNAcentral describes it as "bacterial SSU rRNA". It matches the Rfam family "Bacterial small subunit ribosomal RNA", at positions 26 to 868 of the family's 1533-position model. The record is from RNAcentral.
AGAAUGAACGUUGGCGGCGUGGAUUAGGCAUGCAAGUCGAACGAAUCCCCAAGGGCUUGCUCUUGGGGGGAAGUGGCGAAAGGGGCAGUAAGGCAUGGGUAACUUUCCCGGGGGACUGGGAUAGCCUUCCUAACGGAAGGGUAAUACCGGGCGAUUCAACGGAGUGGCAUCACUCGGUUGGGAAAUGAAUUUCGCCUCCGGAAAGGCUCAUGUGGUAUUAGCUGGUUGGUGAGGUAACGGCUCACCAAGGCCAAGAUGCCUAGCAGGUGUGAGAGCACGACCUGCGUCACUGGCACUGCGACACUGGCCAGACUCCUACGGGAGGCUGCAGUCGAGGAUCUUCGGCAAUGGGCGCAAGCCUGACCGAGCGACGCCGCGUGUGCGAAGAAGGCCUUCGGGUUGUAAAGCACUGUCGAGGGGGAGGAAAGCCCGUAAGGGUUUGACUAAUCCCUGGAGGAAGCACGGGCUAAGUUUGUGCCAGCAGCCGCGGUAAGACGAACCGUGCAAACGUUAUUCGGAUUCACUGGGCUUAAAGGGCGCGUAGGCGGGUGAUCAAGUCAGGGGUGAAAUCCUUCAGCUUAACUGGAGCAGUGCCUUUGAUACUGGUCGUCUUGAGGGAGGUAGGGGCAUGUGGAACCUCCGGUGGAGCGGUGAAAUGCGUAGAUAUCGGAAGGAACGCCGGUGGCGAAAGCGACGUGCUGGAUCUCUUCUGACGCUGAGGCGCGAAAGCCAGGGUAGCGAACGGGAUUAGAUACCCCGGUAGUCCUGGCCCUAAACGAUGGGUACUGGAUUGUGGACUUGACAUGGGUUCACAGUCGAAGCAAAAGUGGUAAGUACC